Molecule: transfer RNA, 72 nt
Organism: Volvox carteri f. nagariensis
Lineage: Eukaryota; Viridiplantae; Chlorophyta; Chlorophyceae; Chlamydomonadales; Volvocaceae
Rfam family: tRNA
About the family: Transfer RNA (tRNA) molecules are approximately 80 nucleotides in length. Their secondary structure includes four short double-helical elements and three loops (D, anti-codon, and T loops). Further hydrogen bonds mediate the characteristic L-shaped molecular structure. tRNAs have two regions of fundamental functional importance: the anti-codon, which is responsible for specific mRNA codon recognition, and the 3' end, to which the tRNAs corresponding amino acid is attached (by aminoacyl-tRNA synthetases). tRNAs cope with the degeneracy of the genetic code in two manners: having more than one tRNA (with a specific anti-codon) for a particular amino acid; and 'wobble' base-pairing, i.e. permitting non-standard base-pairing at the 3rd anti-codon position.
Source: Rfam
GGGAGUUUGGUCUAGUGGCAUGAUUCUCGCUUAGGGUGCGAGAGGUCGUGGGUUCAAUUCCCGCAACUCCCC